Molecule: long non-coding RNA, 220 nt
Filed under: Gallus gallus (chicken)
Lineage: Eukaryota; Metazoa; Chordata; Aves; Galliformes; Phasianidae
Source: RNAcentral
CUCAUUCUCUGUCUCAUUGCCAGCCUCAGCCACAUCCUCGUCUCGCCGUGUGCCGUUCACGCCCCGCUCAGAUGAGUUGCUUGGACCUGUUCCAUUCUCCACAACGUGCUUGAUAGGUAUUUUAAUUGCUACUUCUGAUUCACCAUUGGUGUAAGUCCUGCUGUUGAUCAGUCUUUGUCUCUCAUUGAUUAGCAUACGGCUGGCCAUGGAGAGACGUGUU